GAGGGUAUAGCUCCGUGGUAGAGUGCUUGCCUAGCAUGCAAGAGGUCCUGGAACCAAUCCCCAGUACUUCCA
RNAcentral lists this transfer RNA (72 nucleotides) under Camelus bactrianus (Bactrian camel). It matches the Rfam family "tRNA". From Rfam's summary of the family: Transfer RNA (tRNA) molecules are approximately 80 nucleotides in length. Their secondary structure includes four short double-helical elements and three loops (D, anti-codon, and T loops). Further hydrogen bonds mediate the characteristic L-shaped molecular structure. tRNAs have two regions of fundamental functional importance: the anti-codon, which is responsible for specific mRNA codon recognition, and the 3' end, to which the tRNAs corresponding amino acid is attached (by aminoacyl-tRNA synthetases). tRNAs cope with the degeneracy of the genetic code in two manners: having more than one tRNA (with a specific anti-codon) for a particular amino acid; and 'wobble' base-pairing, i.e. permitting non-standard base-pairing at the 3rd anti-codon position. RNAcentral also lists the same sequence under 2 other names. The record is from Rfam by way of RNAcentral. Lineage: Eukaryota; Metazoa; Chordata; Mammalia; Artiodactyla; Camelidae.